This 492-nucleotide ribosomal RNA is filed under the name uncultured bacterium. Its description in RNAcentral is "partial 16S ribosomal RNA". It matches the Rfam family "Bacterial small subunit ribosomal RNA", at positions 29 to 507 of the family's 1533-position model. The record is from RNAcentral.
AGUGAACGCUGGCGGUAGGCCUAACACAUGCAAGUCGAACGGCAGCACAAUAAGAGCUUGCUCUUACGGGUGGCGAGUGGCGGACGGGUGAGGAAUACAUCGGAAUCUACUUUUUCGUGGGGGAUAACGUAGGGAAACUUACGCUAAUACCGCAUACGACCUACGGGUGAAAGCAGGGGAUCUUCGGACCUUGCGCGAUUGAAUGAGCCGAUGUCGGAUUAGCUAGUUGGCGGGGUAAAGGCCCACCAAGGCGACGAUCCGUAGCUGGUCUGAGAGGAUGAUCAGCCCCACUGGAACUGAGACACGGUCCAGACUCCUACGGGAGGCAGCAGUGGGGAAUAUUGGACAAUGGGCGCAAGCCUGAUCCAGCCAUACCGCGUGGGUGAAGAAGGCCUUCGGGUUGUAAAGCCCUUUUGUUGGGAAAGAAAAGCAGCAGGUUAAUACCCCGCUGUUCUGACGGUACCCAAAGAAUAAGCACCGGCUAACUUCGUG